This 497-nucleotide ribosomal RNA is filed under the name uncultured bacterium. RNAcentral describes it as "partial 16S ribosomal RNA". It matches the Rfam family "Bacterial small subunit ribosomal RNA", at positions 28 to 507 of the family's 1533-position model. The record is from RNAcentral.
GAUGAACGCUGGCGGCGUGCCUAAUACAUGCAAGUCGAACGAACGGACGCGAAGCUUGCCUCACGGAUGUUAGCGGCGGAAGGGUGAGUAACACGUGGAUAACCUACCUAUAAGACUGGGAGCACUUCGGGAAACCGGAGCUAAUACCGGCUAAUGUUUUGAACCGCAGGGUUCAAAGGUGAAAUUCGGUCUGCCUCUCACUAAUAGCUGGAUCCGCGCUGCCUUAGCUAGUGGGUAAGGUCACGGCUUACCAAGGCCACGAUGCAUAGCCGACCUGAGAGGGGGAUCGCCCACACUGGAACUGAGCCCCGGUCCAGACUCCUACGGGAGGCAGCAGUAGGGAAUCUUGCGCAAUGGGCGAAAGCCUGACGGAGCAACGCCGCGUGAGUGAUGAAGGUCUUCGGAUCGUAAACCUCUGUUAUUAGGGAAGAACAUAUGUGUAAGUAACUGUGCACAUAUUGACGGUACCUAAUCAGAAAGCCACGGCUAACUACGUG